Non-coding RNA from Phrynosoma platyrhinos (Desert horned lizard), 74 nucleotides. Lineage: Eukaryota; Metazoa; Chordata; Lepidosauria; Squamata; Phrynosomatidae. The record is from the annotation of a GenBank genome assembly.
GGAAGGUCAGAGCUCAGUGGCAGAGCUCCUGCCUCUCACACAGGAAGUCCCAGGUUCAGCCCCCGGCUUCUCCA